AUCCCGUGGUGAGGGCAUUUGUGUAAUAGUUUCUUAAAUCGCUCCCACGCCUCGUAGAUGGAUUCAUUGUCCAUCUGUUGGAAAGUGGUAAUCUCAUUCCUCGGCU
This 106-nucleotide small nucleolar RNA is filed under the name Gossypium barbadense (sea-island cotton). Its description in RNAcentral is "Plant small nucleolar RNA R71". It matches the Rfam family "Plant small nucleolar RNA R71". Rfam says of the family: R71 is a member of the C/D box family of snoRNAs containing the C (UGAUGA) and D (CUGA) box motifs. RNAcentral also lists the same sequence under 2 other names. Lineage: Eukaryota; Viridiplantae; Streptophyta; Magnoliopsida; Malvales; Malvaceae. The record is from Rfam by way of RNAcentral.